RNAcentral lists this non-coding RNA (20 nucleotides) under Arabidopsis thaliana (thale cress). The record is from RNAcentral. Lineage: Eukaryota; Viridiplantae; Streptophyta; Magnoliopsida; Brassicales; Brassicaceae.
CUCCUCCUGCAACCACCAAA